Long non-coding RNA from Sinocyclocheilus grahami, 792 nucleotides. RefSeq lists it as uncharacterized. The transcript is spliced from 3 exons. The record is from RefSeq and is a predicted model, not a curated record. Lineage: Eukaryota; Metazoa; Chordata; Actinopteri; Cypriniformes; Cyprinidae.
UACUAAAUGUUCUUGGGCUGUUAUUAAAUAUAGUCAAGUUUUGUUCUGACCAUUAGUCAUCAAAUGGUCAGAGAGAUGUAGGUAACCUUUGAUUUACUCAUCUAAGUGGUCCCUAGAACCUAAAGUAGAACCUAAAUGUUGAUGACAUCCAAACUUGUGAGUUGUUCAGUUUGUAUCAUUGCAGACAUGAUAGUUGGGUAUUCUUGCAUUGACAUGGAGGCAUUUUUCUCCUUUUCUUGUGACAUUUGACCUGUAUUUUGCUAUUUCCUCCUCACAUUCAUGUCAUGCUUCAGACUCCUAAAACUAAAAAUGUGCUUGUCUUAUUUCUGUGCUAAAAUGUGGCUUGUCUUAUUUCUGUGCUCUCAAGUAUUUUCUCAUUCAGUUUCUUCUUUGGCCCUGGACAAACGGUUCCUAAUACAUUACUCAAGCACUUCACUUGUUUCUAUAGUCAAGUCAUUAAACUGACUGGAAUGUCCCAUGGAUUAGACUGGAGUGUCUAAUUGGUCCUGCACUGCUUUUCAUAUUUGAAUAUAUACAAAUUGCCUUUUUUAAAAUAUGUUUUUUUUGCCUUUCUGCUGAGCUCCGGGUUCAGGUGACUGCACUUGAGCGCUCUUUACAGGAAGAGAAGGAGAGGUGCAAAGAGGAGCGGGUGAGGAGGAGGCUGCUCCACAACACCCUGGUUAUCUUCAUCAUGUGAAGCAGUAGUGCAGGCCAUCAAUGAUGACUCUGUUUUUGUGAACUGCGCCAAAACCUCAAGUCCUGUAAUGAACAAAAUAUUUGAGUUUGAGAGGU